UCGAACCCGGGCCGCGGCGGUGAGAGCGCCGAAUCCUAACCACUAGACCACCAGGGAGCACCGAGUAACACACCUGCGCAUCCUCACACCACCUCACCGCACCCCAAGGCGACUCUUCUCCACGCACCCCAAACUCGCUCCCCUUCUGCGUGGCAACCCCCUGACGGUCAGUCCGCUCACACCGAGGCGGCUCCGCAGGCCACACGUAGCCCAGCGUGUGCCCCGCCUGAGGGGAGCCCCACGGUCCAACGCCCCAAAAGCUGUGCGCUGGCUCGGGACAGCCGACCCGAGAGCUCAGAGUCUGUCAGGGCUGAGGGGGCGCGGGUGCCUGGAGGCUCUCGCGAGAAGACCCUGUAAGAGCGAGCGAGAGGGGCGGGAUCUCGAUCUGGAUGCGCCCGCGAGCUCACUGGUGCUGAGCACCCAGAUGGCCGAGCGCUCUAGAUGGCAUUAGCUCUCGUCGCAUCUCUCCUGUCGGUGUUGGUUUGAAUCUUGCUUUUGGCAGCUUUGUCCUUUCCUCUUUCUUACUCCACCUAGGACGCCGGUAUUCUCAGCUUAAGGCAGCAGGCCGUGAUCGCUUUUCGUUCCCUUCCUGGUUUCCUUUCACUUUUGUCGCCUCUCUGCAACCUCAGUCUAGCUCCCAUCUUAGAUUCGCCCCCCCCCCCCAACCCACAGUGCCCAGCGACUGGCGAAACGCAUCAGAGGAAAUGUCACCAGAAUCUGUCUUCGUCAGGCCCACACUGUCGGCAAGCAGCUUCUCUGUGCGGUUCUCUGACUGUAGCGGUUGGAUCCUAACCUCCAGUGGACCAGAGAGGGCAAGGGACAGUCCCUGAGCCUCCUCACACAUCCCACUGCACCCCCUAGUCUAUGCAUCCACCCCCUCAGGAAACUUGGGCAAACCCCUUUCAUCUGGCUGGCGUCCCAACUCUGCACCUAGAGCGACCCAUCAGCAGCUCUGCGAUAGCACUGUCACUUGCGUUACAAAGCGAAAAAGGAAGGAAGAAAGAAAGAAGAAAGAGUCGCACUGUUUCUCCUCCCGCAGACAGCAGGCUUGUUGAGAAGCAGCGACCAAACAAGACAGGAGGUUAUAAUGCACCUAUGGUACCUGAGAUUAAUAAUUUAAAAAAAGACAAUUGAAAUCUCCCCGUCGGGGAAUCGAACCCCGGUCUCCCGCGUGACAGGCGGGGAUACUUACCACUAUACUAACGAGGAAAUGACGGGAAUGUUGUUGACACUCAUUUCCUCCUGGUUGGAUUCUCUGGCUGUACAGGGCCCCGGUGGAACCUCACGGAUCCCCAGCACCACCACAGCUAAGACUAUGUGUAACAUACACCCGGGGGAGUCGGUGAGGAGCAGGGGCUUGAAUCUAGAUCCUUGUGCAUGGCAAUAUGUACACUCUACCAGGACCUGGAUGUUAGACCAGAAACUAUCAAAUACUUAAAGGAAAACAUUGAUGGAACAUUUUCCCACCUAAACCUCAAGGACAUCUUGGAUGAAACAAACCCAAUUGCAAGGAAGACUAACGCAGAAACAAACCAGUGGGACUACAUCAAAUUGAAAAGCUUCUGCACAGCCAAAGAAACUAUCACACAAACAAAGAGACCCCUCACAGAAUGGGAGAAGAUCUUCACAUGCCAUACAUCAGACAAGAGACUAAUCACUAAAAUAUACAAAGAGCUCAGAAAACUUAGCACCAAAAAAGCAAAUGACCCCAUCCAAAAAUGGGCAGAGCAUAUGAACAAAAUAUUCACUUCAGAGGAGAUCCAAAAGGCUAACAAACAUAAAAAAUUGCUCCAGGUUGCUGA
Molecule: long non-coding RNA, 1802 nt
Organism: Erinaceus europaeus (western European hedgehog)
Lineage: Eukaryota; Metazoa; Chordata; Mammalia; Eulipotyphla; Erinaceidae
Exons: 3
Source: RefSeq, a predicted model, not a curated record